GCGUAUAUCUGAGGCUGCAUAGCUAUUUUGUUCGAAUUAUGGCCCAAACAGUGAUUAGUGAAUUUUAAUCAACAUACAUUGAAGAACACCAGAACCAGUACCCUAAUAUUAACAUUGACGUGGAUACAGAUACGAGGUUUAUAACAUUCGAAAUAGAAAGUUUUUAUUUACAACAUCUGAAGCCCAGGAUGUAGAUUCAGUGGAGCAAAUCCUCGAGUGUGCUUAACUUGAAGCCAAGGUUUCUGAUGCUGCAAAAUCAAUGCUGAAGUAAAAAAGUAAUGCAUGACGAUUGCUUCUUGUGCUCAUCUACCUUGACAUUUUAAGAGUGUAUGAACCCUGCGAACGUCAAGAACAUUAGCUUCAUGAGAAAAGCGAAAAAUAUCAGGGCCCUUUCUCCAUUUUUAUAUUUCCUUUAUUGCCCUUGAUUCGAUAUUUAUUUUUAUUUUAUUUUUUUUGCGUGGGUGGUGCGCAGUUAUUGAUGCUAGGUAAAUUAACAUUUUCAGGGGAUAUUCGUACUUAUGGCAAUACAUGAAGUUAGGCUUGACAUGGGCAGUGCACUUACGGGAAUGCCAGGUCAUACUAAAAAAGGUUACUUACAGGUGGCGUAAUUCCAGGUAAACUUGGGAAUGAGAAAUCGCAGAAUCGCCAACAGAAACUGGACAUCUUGUCUUUCCACAGAGAUCGUGAGUCUCACCAUGGACAUGAAAUCUGAGGUAUGAAACAUCGAUUGUGAGUUCCCACCAGAGAAUUCUCUAUCUGCUCGGUAAUUCAAGGUAAAUCUUCAGCUCACAAGAACAAGUUGCAAUUGAAGCUACAUUCAUGCAGAAUAGCAUGUUUGAAAUUAUAAUGUUUCAUUAGAUUCUCUAGUUGCACGUAUCAACUCAUUGGUGCGAUAAAACUGCCUUCCUUUGUCGCUUGUGGCAGUCCCUUCUCUCCACAAGUUCCAGACUAUGUUAUAGAAUGGUGCCCUACUCAUGUGAGAGGACGAAGAAAUACUCCUAGAAGUCAAUCAAAAGAAUAUGAAAGUGGAGAAGCUCUAUAUCUACACACAAACUGGUGAGAAUUCAUGAAUCCCAUAGCAGCAGCCAAAUUCAUUGUUACUCUUAAAGCAUGUGAAGGAGCACGAGUAUAAACUACCAGUACAGUACAGGGAGGUCAAUAUUAAUAAUGUCAAAUUCUUCCUAGUAAGAAACCAAAUGUUUCCCUCUUGGCUCUGCUUUCCUCCACAGAUCACUAGGCUUAAAACUAGAAGCCAUAAAGUAAUUAAUCUGGUCUUACAGUUCUUAGUCAUGGGAGCUAGAAAGUGUACUAACUGGAUAAUCAUUGUCUUGGUGUCAAACAUGUAGCCAUAAAGAAAUAAAUACGCUCUCAGAGUCCUCAGACAUAGUAAAUACUAAAUAGUGUACCUACCUAAAAAGCAAUUAUUUGGAUACGAUAUAAAACAGGUAUGCCGAUACAGUUUUUUUAAAAAUUAGGAUACGCAAAUACAUGUAUAUAAACGUGUAGUAUUUCUCAUAAGUUACAUCAUAAAAUUCAGCAUACUUUCAUUAUUAUAGAAAAAAUUAAAACAAAGCCCUUACAAUAAAAUACUAAAGCAUUAUAUAGGAUAUUUUAUUCUAUAAAUUUUUUACACUUAUGUAACAAUAUUAAAUAUAUAGGGUAGUUUGAUUAUAAUUUAUUAACACAGCUUUAUAUGUAUUAAAAGUUUUACUGCCAUUGUAAACCCAAUCUUAAAAUUAAGAAAAAAACAAUUGACCCACUUAAAAAAAAAAUUGACCCUGCAUAGGGCUUGGCUUUCAACUUUCAAGUGCCAUCUUCGUUGAUGUGAUAAUAAUACCUUAAGGUUUGACUUUCUCCCUCUCCCUCUCUUCACUGCACUAAUUGGUGAUAGCUUUUUCCACUUCACUCGUCGGCGAUGGCCUUUUUCAUUGCACUAGCCAGCAGGUUAAUUUUUCUCUAUUUUUCAGAGCACCCGCCGAGGUUUGCCGUGUCCAAGAACGUGUCGGACUUGAUGGGAAAAAAAAAAUAACUAGAAAGGCACACGCACCCACAUGGCAUUUCCAAGACAUAUUGUAGCAUGUCUGGCACGUGUCGAAGCUCAAAACGCUGGUGUCGAAGCUCAAAACGCUGGAUCUGACAACAUCUUGGUGCAACAUAGUUACCUACUAGAUGGCUAUCAUCCGACUUCCAAGUAAUCAAAAUCUAGUACUUUUCCCGACCCGCCUGAGAUCUCACAAUUUAAACUCACGCUAAUCUAUCACCAAUAAGCUGAUACAUGACAUGCUUCCUCCAAUGAUACUCAAAAAUUUGUGAGGGAGGUGGGAGAUAGUGAGAGUGUAGGUCAGAAUUAGAGAUAUAUGGUAAACCACACAUCUAGUUCUUCCUACUUCAUUUAUUACUAGUAAGCUGGAAAACCAAAAUAAAUCCAUAAUGGAAACUUUAAAGUCGACCGUCAGAGAUCCGCAAGAAGACAUCUAAUGAUGCUUCUCUUUCAUUCAUACAUAAAGGAUCUGUAAAGAAAUAUAAAAUACAAAAAAAAAUGUGGGAGGCAUAAGAAAGGUAAUUUUCAGCUAGAAGAAAUGGAUAAGAAGGAAAUUUGUCAAUUUUAUCUUCUGGUUGACGUAAAAGAUAUAAGCACAAGUACUUUUACUACUCGAAGGUUAGGUAACAUGAAAACAUGAGUAUGCUAUUACUCUUUGCAAACCCACCCACCACCUGGGGGGAAAAAAAAAAAAGAAAAAAGAAGAAGAAAGAAAGAAACACCUCUUUUGCACACAGAACUUGUUCUUCAGCUUUUCAAGGCAACAUGCUUUCGAGGGUGUAUAGAAUGUUUAAUUAUGCCUCGCCAAAAAUCCCAUUCCUGUGAAUAUUUGUUAAAGCAAGCAACUUUUUAUGAAUGAAUUAUUAGUCAUUUAUUAUUUGGAAACAUAUUAAAGUGAAUACAAAGAUAUAUCUAAUGAGUCUCUUCUGCAUUUAGAGAAGCAGCAAAACCAAUGAAAGUCAGUUUGACUAAGUCGAAGGAAUAGUAUUUCUGGAUGAAGGGGUACUAUUUUCUUGGACAUUGUUAUCCCAUCCAUUUUAUACCAUAAAGAAGUUAUUAGAACAAUAAAGGCACAACAAAUGUUAUUAUUUUUCACUGAAAAGACAUUUGCAAAGAACUGGAGACUCUGAAACAUGUUUAAGCAAAAAUCAGAGGAAUAGAAAAAUGAAAUUUCAGUGUUCGAGGCAUAUGCUAUUACCGGAAGAUGCAACAAUGCUGAAGGUGGUUUGUUUGCCGCUAGAAAUAGGGUAAGGAAUUAUCUCCACUCCACUGACCUUAACAUCAUCAUUAGCCUUCUUAUCUGCAUUCCAUUUGGAGAAAGGCAAAAUUAAUAGAAUUAUGAUCCAUAUUACAAAGAAAAAAUUAUAUUUCUUUUAAUUUCAAGAAACUUGAAAAACUGAUCCGAACAAACCCAACCAGAUCCUCCAGAAAAACUAAUAUAAGAAUAAUAACAAUAAAAACCCACCCUAAUCUUAAAAACGACAUGAUUGAGUGUGAAAAGAAGAAAUCAAACUGACUGACUGACUAUAUGAAAUUACAGGGAUAGUCGAAAAACCAUAAACUGCUUCAGAAAAUGUUAAGAAGACGUUGAAUUUCAAGAAAUUUGAAAAAACUGAAACGAAAUCCAAAAUCAAUAAUUUUUCCAGAAAAAUUAAAUAAUACAGGAAAGGUCAAUACCCUAAUCUUAAAAAUACAUUAUCCGGUUUGAAAAGAAAAAAUCAAAUUAACGAAUAAAUGGAACUCCAGCGUCUUAAAUUUACACUAGAAAAAUACAAAAAGCAAAGGGAAUUCGGUAAUCAUACUGCAGUAUUGACGUCGGUGGACUUGGCAGAAGUCCAAGGUACAAGCAGAUACAGCGAGAAAAGACGAGCAAUGAUAGGCUUCAACUGAACCAUGGCUACUCCUAAAUUAAAGAGAGUGAGCCAGGCUCCUGCUUGAGAAGAAGGAAG
RNAcentral lists this long non-coding RNA (3990 nucleotides) under Olea europaea (common olive). RNAcentral describes it as "long non-coding RNA (OEUR_LNC000833)". Lineage: Eukaryota; Viridiplantae; Streptophyta; Magnoliopsida; Lamiales; Oleaceae. The record is from RNAcentral.